AUGUCCUUCCUGGGGAAAAAGGCGGCUCAGUAUGGGCGGGGACAGAGGAGGACCUGGGGGUUGGGCCGUGCCCACCAUAGCCACUGGUCCUCGCACCUUCCUGGCGGAUGCGCACGUUGUCACUGGGCCGCAGUUUGCUGCCCUCCCGGAACCACUGGCCAGGCACCUCGUCGUGGGAGACCUCACAGGAGAAGGUGGCACUGUCCUUCUCCAUCACUUCCACAUCCUCCAGUGACCUCACCAUCUGGAUGUUGCGGCCUGGGGUGGCAAGGGAGGCCCUGCCACACCUGGACACACAGAGCCACCCCCAGCACCCCCCACCCAGUGCCCCAGCGUGCCAAGGGUUGUGAAGGUGAAAGCAGAGUGGCCAAGCCCCUGGCUGGGGGACAUGGAAGACAGGAGGAGGUGCCCACACCUGCCGUGCCCCACGUGCCCCACACAGCCCUCACCUUGCACCUUCACAGAGGCAGAGCUCUGGGCGUCAUGGGCAUCACACACAUACAUGCCCUGAUCCGCGAACUCGCACCGGUAAAUGGUGAGGCUCCUGCAGGUGCCCUGGGCCGCAAUGCCCACCGUCUUGCCUGCCCGCAGCUCCACACCGUCCUGUGGAGCGCAGAAGCCCGGUCAGGCAUACAGGUGGUUCAGCCCUGGGGUUCCACUUGGGCCUGCCCCCAGGAGAGGAGGGAAGGAGGCAACAGAGUGGGGUCAGGGGGAGGCACCUUUAGCCAGCGCACAUCCACAUUAGGACGAGACAGCUCACACUCCAGGGUAACCUUCUCCUUCUCGGUGGUCACCACAUCCUGCAGCGGGCGGCUGAAGUUCACAGGCAGCUCUGGGGAGGAGGAAGUAGGAGGUGGGAGGAGAAAAAGGGCUUGGAGGAGCCUUCAGAGUGGGGACAGGACUAGGGUGGGACAGUGCCCAAGCUGGACAGAGUUAUAUGGAGCUGGCUCAUCCAGGUCCCUAGAGUCCCCACCGACCUCCCAGGGAUUCCCUCGGGACAGGUAG
This 1005-nucleotide long non-coding RNA is filed under the name Macaca fascicularis (crab-eating macaque). RNAcentral's name for it is "lncRNA (ENSMFAG00000062796.1)". The record is from RNAcentral. Lineage: Eukaryota; Metazoa; Chordata; Mammalia; Primates; Cercopithecidae.